Molecule: non-coding RNA, 8906 nt
Organism: Equus caballus (horse)
Lineage: Eukaryota; Metazoa; Chordata; Mammalia; Perissodactyla; Equidae
Source: RefSeq, a predicted model, not a curated record
AAAAAAAGAAAACCCAACAAAACAAAGAAAAAAGGAGGAGUCCUGGGCUUGGCAUUAAGAUACUGAACUCAGGAGUGGGGACAACCUCUCCGGGCAGGCUGUGUGAACUUGAAUUUGAUUCUUUACUUCUUGGGCCAUCUCGGCUUCAAAGGUCCCCGACAUUCACCAUAAAUCUCAUGACUUAUUUUUAUUUCUUCCACAGCACCUGGCACAAGACUGAGACGAUGGCAGCAGACUCAAUGGCUACGUCCAGUAUGAGACCAUUUAGAUGACAUUCUGGAAAAGGUAGAAAACUACAGGGACAGAAAACAGAUCAGUGGUUGCCAGGGUGAGGUGCAGGAGUUGACUAUAAAGGGGCAUGUGGGAAUUCUCGGGGGGGGGGGUGGACGAUGGAAUUAUUCUUUAUCUUGAUUUGCCAAAACUCAUGGAACUCAGCUAUGAGAGAAGACUCAGUUUUACCAUAUAUAAAUUACACUUCAAUAUAAACUUGGGAAGGAAGUGGUGGCAGAAACAACGAAUGGAGAGUAUGUCAUUCCAUUCACCCUUUCUCUCAUUCCCUCAGUCUGCUGAGUCAGGCCACUGGGUCGGUCAACGGGUCAGAGGGGGCCAUGCCCUCCUGGGGCUCACACCUCGUAGGGAAGACAGCCACUAAACAGAAGUACCUACAAGACAAUGAGUGUUCCGAUGAGAGACAGAUGGGAGCGCACAGCAGGGGCCUAGGGGGCAGAGAGACCUCCUGGACAAGUGACAUUUCAGAUGGACUUCAGGCAUGAACAGGAAGUAGCCAGCUAAGUUGGGAGGAUAGGAGUGGCGAGGAAGGGAGAAAGUGUUCCACACAUCUCGUGGGUUUGAGGCAUGGAUGAAAUUUGGCGUGGGAAGAACAUGAGGCAGAGAGGCCUCCAGCGGCUGGGCUGUGUAGGGCCUUUGAAUGGGCUGAGAAGUCUGUUUUACUCCUCGUGCAGGCGGGAGCCAGGGAAGGUCUAUUCGAAGAUGGGCCUACACCCUUCACCCCACAACGCUCCUCUUCCGGGCACUCCAGUGGGCACUCCAGUGGGCACUGAGGCCUUGCCUGAAGGAGCAAAGACCUGGAAACAGUGUGCAUCUCCAGGAGACCGGGCCUCUACACUAUGGCGUGUUCAGAAGCUAGGAACAGCAGCAAGGACGUCAAGGCUGGAGCCACAUGUACCAGCAUCCACAACAUAAUGGUGAGCCCACGAAACAAGGUGCAGGAUGGAAGAGUCUGACGUUUGUCUAUGGGCUGGACGCGGGCACAUGCUGUGUGCCGGGUGUGGCUGUUAGAGCGGCAGUCAGGGCGCGGAGUCACGUGCAGGAGUGACAGAGAGCAAAUUCAGGAUGCACAGGACGCAAAUUCAGCGUCGGCUUCCAGGAAGAGUGAGGUUAGGGAUGGGUCUUCAACUCUAUCUUUGAUGUUUUCUUUCUUUUAAAAACAUAGGAUUGAAUUAUGAUCAAAACUUAAGGUGAAAAUCGGGUAAUGGGAAGAUGGGUGUUCACUGAGUUAUUCUGUCAUUUUCUUGAUGUUUGAAAUAUCAUAGACCUAACAUCAAAAAGUAAGGAAGGAAAUAAGUUCGCUGUGGCUUCAGCACAGAGAAUGACCUUCUUAACAGCAAGGCUGGGGCCGGAGGUCCCGAGGAGGCUGUAGUGUCGGCGAGGCAGGACCCAGGGGGGCCUGGAAGAGGACGGGCAGAGUGCAGGGAGACGUUUCCAGGCUCCAGGGAGACAUAGGAGACUGCCGCAACAGGACCUGCGGCUGAGUGCGGGCGGGGAGAGGGCCGCGGAGGAGGGGCGACAGGCGCGCUUCCCACACUGCGGCCUGGGCAGCUGGGUGUGGGGGGCCGUUCCGAGGGGACACUGCAGCAGGCACCCAGGGGUGGGGGAGGCGAUAUUGAGAAGCCCUGUCAUCAUUCGUCAGAGCAGCUGCUACUCAAGCUCACGUUUCCUGUGGGCCGCCGUGUGCCGGGCGCUGGGCUAAGGCACAGGAAUGAACUACUUCAGUCCUCACAACGACUCCCAGCGUGAGCCCAGCACCUCCAUCUUCCUCAUCUGACAGAGAUGAGACAUCGUGCCCAGAGUCACACAGCUGGGAACCAGUCAGAUGUUCCAUAUUCUUAGCAGCCCACCUGGGCAGCUGGGUGGUGCCCACCCCCUGCACCUGCGUGGCCGUCAGUGGUGGAGUGACCAGCCACCUUCCAGGACACGGCUCCGCUGCGCUCCACAUAUCAACGCGCAUGAGCCUCAGAAACACAACUGUGAGCCACAAAAAGCCAGUCCACUCCUGGGAUGAGGGAAGGGAACCCAGACGCAUCUAGUACGGCAUAUGAAUGCAGCAGUGUGCUGAGGGUGGGUCCACACGGCUUCAUUCCAUUCUCAUAACAGGCCUGCGGCGGAAAUACAAACCCCUCGCUCUAGGCGGGGAAACUGAGGCUCAGACAGGCAUUGCAACCUGAUCCAGGCCCCACGACUAGAGCAAGGAUCUGAACCAGAUCAGGAGUGGAAAGCCUACGUGUUUCUACCCAUCCUCUGUCCGCCAGUCACCGCAGGCACGACAGCCUGCCUGCCUUCUCUUCAUUCACUCGUUCCCUCACUCACUCCAAGAUGUAAAGCACCUACUACUUUGUGUCACGCACUCUGCUAGGCAUUGGAAAUAAAAGAAAUUAGACACAAACCUUGCUUUCAAGGAGUCUGCAGCCUGCAGGACUGGGACAAGUGAAAAUGGGUCAUUUGCAUAUUCUAAAAGCCCAGCUACACAGUCCAUCUAUCCAAUGUUGACAGCAAAGUGAGGCAUUACAUUUAAAAAGUGAUCCGCGUGGAUUAAAUUUUUUGCGAGGCUUCGAAUCUUACAUAAGAGUAGCUUGGUUAGUAAGACAGAGAGAACAGAGACAGUGACUCGGGGCCCUCUGAAACACACAAGGCAUUCAGGAACUAUAAAAGGAUUAUGAAAAAUAUUAUAUUCCAAAAACAGCAGGCAAACAACAGCUGCCUUCAGUUUUCAAUAGAAGCCAAUUGAAAAUGCACACCCGCCAUAAUUUUCAGAGACAAAUCUCUCUGCAGUUUAUCCGAUCCCCUGUUUUAAUUUCCAUACCCAGCCCUCUAUCUGCAGUAAUAAUAACCCAAAUUCCAUUUAGUGUUCAUUUGAGCAGUCAGGAUAAAGUCAUUUCUUAUUAUCUCCCCACUGUGUAAAAAACAGCUUGAAGGUAGGAAGUCAGCAAGCAUUUUCACCAAAAAGUAAUUAUUGUAAGUGACAUUUUUACUGCUGGCAUGCCAUAAGGCGAACUGUGCAUUCAGAAGGACAAGUUGCUGAAACAAAAUGACAGGGUACUCUGUGACAUUCUGACAAGAACCCAAACAUUAUUUAACUGGCGGCUGGUCUGAUGCACCACUUUUCAUUACGUCCAUAGUUUAGGCUUUGAGCCUGUGCCAAGCCAGGAAAUUCCAAGCGACUACAGAGACAGACAGGGAUGGAAAGAUGGGAAAGAGGAGGGAAGAGAUGGGGGAGGCGGGGAGGGUGGCCAGGGAGCAGCAUGGUCAAGGCCUGGCACAUUAGAUGUGGGCGAGGAGGGGGGGAGUCAGAGAGAAGGGGAAUCGGGAGUGCAGGAGAGGCAGCGAGGGGAAGAUGGAGCCAGAGGGGACAGGAGCAAGGAUGUACAGAAGGUUCUGGAGUGCCUGGUGCUGGUGUCCUCGGUCCAGCGGGAGCCCUGGUAGCCUAGAAGGACCCUGCCUUGCUUCAGGGCCUCUCCAGCUGACAGCUUCAAAAGCCGUGACAGGCUGCCCACCUGCCUGGAACCCUUCCCAGCCAAGUUCAGAUGUAGAGAUUGUGAUGUGGACACUAAACUGAGCCGAAACAUGGGGACCCGCUCGCCUGCUCACGCGGUCCAUCUCCGGAGAGACCCGCCAUGUGAGGUUGCUGGACGGUCCCAUUAGAAAUAAUGAGCUGCUCGGCAUCAAAGGUGAACAGCAACCUAAGUGGCCCGCCUGUACUUCAGUCAUCAGUUGGCCAGGCGUGUGCCGCCCAGUAAUGUGACAUCUUCUUCCUGAUGAGUUCCGACAGCUCCAAACCUUUUCCCAGUGGUGGCAGCGUUCACGGCCGCCUCGGGUCCUGACCCUGCCUCUGAGUCUAACGGCAGAGAAUCUUGGCCCCUCUAGGACCACUGCCCUCUCUCCUGUCAUGCAGCUAUGUCAGACACAGGCAACAGAAAAUGGGGCUUGUUUUCUUUUGAGUACGAGUGGUAUUUUGCCUGAUUAGCAGGGGCUUGAAACAAAAUGCACGGACACUUCGAGAGAAGUCACAGAAGUCAUCUAACAACACAUGAAAGUGUAUCAGAAGCACUGGAAGUGGCCACACUAGACAACGGCCUUAUUUCUAAGGGCCUGGAUCUGAUGCCAGCGCCGACGGGGAGUGAGGGAGGGGCCUCGCUGCCGCAGGUCCCACUCCCCCACCCCGGGAAAGGUCCAUUCCCAGAUAGGCAGCUGCGUGAAGAACCAGGACACCCUCCCUACACCCAGGCCCUGUCUGCUGCCCUCCUUGCCGGCGGGGUUGGCAAUACUCUUUGGCCCUCAGCCAACCUUGGCAUCGCCUUAAAUCACGGCAAACCUCAGCAAAUCUACCGAAUCACUCUUUUUUUCCAUAGCAGAAGAGUAACCUGAGAAAGAUUGGGGGUAGGGAGGAGGAGGGCAUGUGGGGGAUUGGUGGGAAGACCUGGGGAGGAGCCAGAUGGGCUGGGUGGGACCCUCUGCUGUCCCAGGAAGGGCAGAUGCCACCCUCUGCUGGCUCUAGUUUCUUCUGUAAAACAGAAGAGCCACGACUCUCUCACUCGCCCCAGCCCUGCCGGGACUGCAGUAGGCCAGGGUGAGAUGAGAUGACAGCCCUGACACACAGUAGGUCCUGGUGUGAGGUCCAGGAUGAGAUGACAGCCUGAGCACAUAGUAGGUCCUGGUGUGUCUGUGACAAUACAUUUUUUUAAGUCUGCCUGAGGAACUGUCAUAGUGACACAGAACCCAAAAUACUUUAGUUAUUAACAAAGAAAACUUUACUAUAAAAGCAAGGUUUCUAUUGAACUUGUUAUUUAUAGCUAUCUUUCCCAACUUGACUUCCAAGCCACUUGAACAAAGGGCCUGUGCCUUCUAUUCAAUAAGGGAACCCUCUGAGUGCCAGCCGGACCUCAUUAAGCAAGUCACUGUUGCAAAGACCCUGUGAUGAGGGCUACGAUGGGGACAUUCAGGGAGCGGUGGGAGCUCACAGCACUGUGACAUGGAAGCUGAGGCCGCGGGUAGGUGUAAGGGAGAGACUGGGGUGUGCCAAGGCCUGGGGUGGAGGAGGGAGGAAGACAUGGAGGGGCCGGGUCACAUGCUAAGAUGGGGGACCUCAGCUCUAGCGAAGGGGCUGAAUACGUGGAUCUGGUGGGAGGUCUGGUAAUGGAGGUCACACACCAAGGGAGGAGGCAGGACCGUCCUUGGCUGGUCACCUGGUGUGAAGCACAGGGUGCCAGAGAUGCUUGCUGCUGAGACAGCUGUCGACUAGAGAUCCACAGUGCUCGGCUCCUCCCAUCUUGUGCCACCCAGCGCUUCCCUCACCCUUGGGACUGUUCUCCACUCUCCUCUUUUCUCCUCGAACUGGGAAGUACAUCGGGGAACAGAUCUCAGCAGUUCCGUGCUGACUGAGAGGCACCCGGGGUACCUGGUGGACAGCAAGCUCUGAAGUGUCCAUCUUUGCAGAGGCUGUAGCACCGUUUACCCCAAGAGCAGCCUGUCCCCUCUCAGUGACACUUCCAGGCAGCCCAGCGUGCAGGUAAUGACGUCUGGGCUAUGAUGGAAUGUUCCUUAGAGAAUCCAUGGCUGACUGCAGCCAUCAAACACACUGGUGUGGUGGGCUGCUUCCGGCCUCCCAACCACACGCAGGUGAGUGAACGGAUCUGGCCCGACACGGGUCCCGGGCUGUGCGGAGCAGGACCGAGUGACAUUUUCGUUGAACGCGGUGGUAUUCGAAAAGCUAUUAAGGUACAUUAUUUUACACAUCCUCCUAAUCUCUCCAUACUGCUUUACUUAAUUUGUGAUGAAAUUGUUGAGAAAGGGUACUUAAUGUAGGACAGUCAGUAAAAGUAAUUUAUCAUCUUCCCGCUUCAGUGCGCACGUUAUCAGCGAACUCAUUUUCUGCAUUCAUCAUGCAAUCAGCCUAUUAUUUGCAUAUUAAUCAGGCAGUGGACCAUGAAAGAACUGCAUCCCAGCCAAAUGCUGCACUAUCUCAGGAGAAACACGCAGUAAUUAUCAUACAUCAGUGUUAUGAUGUGGUAAUUGAUUAUAACAUCUUUCUGCUGCCCCUGGGGAGCCCCUCUGCUCACCCGGCUCCAGGCACGCUGGACAGAUUGUUCUUUUCCUCCAAAAAUCAGAGUUCCUGCUGCUGUUCUCUGAGUGCUAUUUCUGUGGAGUAUCGAUCCUUUCUUCCGAUUUCAUGAUGUAUUUACCUAAACCGCAUGAAACUAAACUGAUCAUAGCUUAGGGAUGAGAGGGCCAGGCCGGGUGGCAGGCGCGUCCCUCUGGAGUCCGUUCUCUCUCCUCAGCCUUUCGGCUUCAGAGGCGCUGCUCUGGCUUCCGAGAAAGUUCCCUUAUCAAAUGAAAUGCUACAACGUCAGUCCCUCCUUAUUGCAAAGUUGGUACAAAGGCAGUUUGGCUGCUUUAUUUAGGAGCCAAAUGGCAGACUAAUUUCGGCCCUCUCAUAAAGGACAAACCCAACAUCUGCCAAUUCAGACUCAGGUUAUAUUUAGGCAUCCAGUUCCAAAGGGAAGAACAAAACACAGAAUCAAGAUGAAGCGGGUGACCGAGCUCCUGGCUCAUGCUGCUCCAUCUGGGACCCCGCCCCACUCUGCAUGGGGAGGCUGACUGGGGCCCAAGGGCUGGUCAGCAUGGGGCCGGGCUCCCGGGCUGUCUCAGGGCCCUGGCAGGGAGAGAGCAUGACAGCUGAAGGGCGAGGCUGUCCUUUAGGAAGGGAAAGGACCCCGGGCCACUGUGUGAUUUUCCUUGGGCUCAGCCUGGAAGGGGUUUCAAAGCAGUGUGGACCUGCAUCACAGGCCAGAUGGUCACACACUUUCAGCUGGAAAACUUCAUGAAGCUGGGUCUGACUCUCUUGCUGCUUUUCAUUGGGUUCUCUCUCCUCCUCUGUCCAGCUCCUGGCUAAAGCGCAUGGGAUGCGUCUGAUUUUCUAUUAAUUGUCUUGGGUCUGGUUUUUGACAUUUGCCCAUUUAUAACGUGAACCCAGUUUUGUUCCUUGUUUUGAGUGUAGUUCCAGGGACCAACCCUUCCCCCAUCUUGGGGGACCAAGUCCUCAGGGCUGGUGACGGCUCGCCUGGACCCAGGCCUCCUGUGGACACCUCCAUGGCAGCCAGACCUCUGGUCUCAGGACCACGCGGGCUUCCUCCACUUCCUCCUUGGCCUCAUCUCUGAGCCAUGGUUUUCUCAGUCCAUAAAACGGGGAAAUCAUUUCCACUUACUGACGAAGAAUUAAAGGUAUUUAGCACUGUGUGUGACACAAAAAAAGAUGCAAAUAUAUGUUUCCUCGUUUUAUUCUUACCACUUGUAAAAAACUACCUGAGGAUUUUUAGGCAUUUAAGCUUCUUCAUCCUUCUCUACAACCAAACCAUUGAAAACGAAAGACCUUAUUUGCUCCUAUGACCUACUUUGCCUCUUGUGCGGAAUGCCCAAUGUACUGUAAAUUUUGUUUUCCAAAGAAAAUCUAAAGGGCAAAGAAAGGAGAUGUGCCCAGAGGCCCGUGACUAGGGCCUGCUGGGCCUUCUCCAAAGAGGAGUCGGGGAGUGCCAGCAAGGAGGGUCCAGGCAAAGCCACCGAGAGAACCAAGCGAGAGGGGGCCGAUAGUCACCCCCACAUCCAGACAGGAUGGCCUCGUUCCGCAGGAGUUUGCCCCAAAUGGCCUGACCUGUGGUCUCGCUCGAAGCUCAGGAUUUUGGGUCAACUUUAAGGAAUGGCAGAUGGACGGGCAACUUCCAAAGACAGACAGCAUUUCAGAGAAGCCAAGGGUCAGGGAGCUGCACGCAGGUCCUCCUCUAGCCGACCCUUCGUGCCAGCCUCCACCCAGCGACGCUCCUACUUCAGUCUCCACCCAGGGAGUGAGCCGUGGGACUCCUUUUCUGUUUUAAAGGCAGAGGCCUGACAUUUUGCGCGUGCACAUAUAUUAUUCCACUGCUCUCGCACACACACAAAAGACACUUAGCGGCAGACGUUGUACUGGCAGCAGCAGAAAAGUGAACAUUCAAAUAGCGCUUCCUCUGUGGCAGCCGCUGCUAUGGACCCUUUUAUAUACGAACCUCCCAAUGGUCCAGGAGACAGGCACUUCAUUUUUCCUAGUUGACAGAAGAAACUGAGACACAGAGAGGUCAAGUCACUUGCCCAAGGCCACACAGUCACUCAGUGGCGCAGGUGGGACCAGCCCUAGGCAGCCUGCUCUGAGCGCGCUGUGUCACACUGCUGGUCACACCUGCUCAAGGCUGGUCACUGCAGGAGGGUUUCACGUUUUGCUGUUAAAAUCAAUCUAAAUAUCUCUGGCUAGUGACUGGUUACAUAAACUCUGGUAAAUUCAGAUACAGGAAAUCUCUGCAGCUGUGAAAAGAACAGGGCCUUCUUCGCGUCCUGGCCCAGGAGCGUCCCCAUGGGGUCUUGCUGGUGAGGAAAGAAGACACAAUGCCUUGAAUCCAGUCUGUUCUGUUCUGUGGAACCAACACCUAGAUGCGCGGAGUGUCUGCAGGAACCCGGGAACAGACCGCCUCUGGGAGGGCGACUGACCUUUCAGAGUGUGAGCCCUUUUCCAGCUUGCAUUUUGUAACCGUGGUGCACUUAUUAAAAACACUCCCUACAAAUCAUAAUUAAAAAAAAAAGUCAAGUAA